CAUUAUCAUUAUCAUUAUCAUUAGCGAUUAUUGAUAUUUUAUCAAAUAAAUUAAAUAAUAGUAAAUAAAUUAAAAAUAAAAUUUAUUUACAACACAAUUGUUAUUUUACUACAGCAAAACUAUGAUAUAUAGGCACAUAACUCAACGAAUUUCUUACUUGUCCUGGAGUAUGUGUAUCAUAUCUUGCAAUCCCAUGCCUAGUAGACGUCCCUCGAACCUCUUAGUUGAUAGGCUUUUUGUAAACAUAUCUAUGAGGUUAUUCUCAAUAGUAAUCUUAUAGACAACCACAUCUCUACAACCAACAAUAUCUCUCAUGAGAUGAUAUUUAUGUUCCGUGUUUAUCCCUCUAAUGACAUCUUAAUUCUUUAGCAUUUUCCACUUUCCAAUUGUUAACACAUUACAUUGUUAAGGGUUAUGCAGAUACAUUCACCACCUCAAUAUUUAUUAGGAAUUUCUUGAGCCACACCGCCUCUUUAAUAGCUUCACAAGCUGCCACUUACUCGAUCUUCUUGGUAGAAUCAACAAUGUAUGAUUGCUUGAUACUUCUUCAUUUUAUGGCUUCGAGGAGUCUUGAUCUCGUUGCAUUUGAUCUGACCAUUGAAGGAACCUUUCGACAAAGACUAAGAGAACAACGAGAAGCAGGAAGAUAACCACAAGUGGAGAUGAUACAAGAAGGGGGAAUUGUUGAUCCUAAUGCCCCACUCAGAAACAGCCUAUGGGGCGAAUUUCAUUGAGUUUUGAUUCCCAAGCUUGAAGAGUUUAAGAUCCCAUAUUAAAUGAAGAGUAUAUGCUUUUUGGGGAUUUUAUGAAUCCCUACACAGUGAAGAAUCAAAUAAAGCAUUGUUAUCCAUCGUAUAGUCAUCCAAACUUUCAACUUCAGUUGGAUGUAAUUAAUUUGUUUUCCAACACCAGAUCAUUCUAUAGGAGAGCCAAAGUAAAUCCACACUCUCAAUUUGUACGCUUCAUGGGAAUUUGUCAUAACUUCAAAUAUGUAGGUUUGACUGUGGAAAUAAUCCCGAUGAGAUUAUCAUACAUUGAAGGAUAGAGCAAGAGAAUAGGUUGACAUUUUACCUCCUUAACGCAUCACUAGUUGGAUGAACUUUGUUUAAAAAUUACUUGUUUUUUCACUAUCUAGAGUUGCUAAACUCAAGCAUGAUAUUACUACCUUUCAACAUUGACUCGUAAAGCUUUCAUGAGGCUUGGAAGAGAUUCAAAGAGAUGCUUAGAAAAUACACGAAUUAAGGAAUCACAAUGGAUCAAUUAUUUCUAUUCUGAUUUGACUCCUUCAUGCUUUCUAAUGUUGAUUCAUCCUCUAACGGGCCAAUCAAACGGAAAACCAUUCGGAAGCAUAUGACUUGUUCGAGAUCAUUGGUAAGCACAAUGUGAUGUAGCUAGAUAGGUGUUCACAAAAGGGAGCUAAUGGAAUACUUGAUGUUGAUUUUUAUUCACUUGUCUUAACCUGUUGAUUCUACAGAAAAGAAGGCCAAAGGGCUUUACACUUUUAUUUCUCAUCCCGUCAAUAUGGUACUAGCUUAUCCAGGGUGUGAUAUGUGUGGAGAAAAUUACCAAGUUCGAACUGUCCAUUGACGACUAAUGGUUUUGCCUCUAUCAAACAAGUGGCUUAUGCUCAAAAUUUUCAACGUCAAGGGCGCAAUCCUUAUUCUCAAACUUAUAGUCCUAGUGGGUGGAACCAUCCUAAAAUCUUCUAUAAUAAUAAUAAUAAAAAAUCGCUAAACUCAAGACCACAAGAGAAGAAAGAAAAUUGGGAAGAUUCUGUAACUAAUUGGCAAAUCAUCAAUUACAAUAUCAAGAGCACAAUGAUGUGUCUUCAAAGAACUUGGAGAACUAAGUGAGUCAAAUAGCUAAACUUCUCUAGGAAAGAAAAGAAGGAGCUUUGCCUAGCAACAUCGAAACUAAUUCAAGAGAUAAUGUGCAAGCCAUCUCAAUAAGGAGCGAAGUGAAAUUGCUUGAGAUUAUGGUAUAAAUGUUCAAUAGCUUAGCCCUUGUUU
RNAcentral lists this long non-coding RNA (2009 nucleotides) under Olea europaea subsp. europaea. Lineage: Eukaryota; Viridiplantae; Streptophyta; Magnoliopsida; Lamiales; Oleaceae. The record is from RNAcentral.